CGCGGCCUAUCAGCUUGUUGGUGAGGUAACGGCUCACCAAGGCGUUGACGGGUAGCUGGUCUGAGAGGACGAUCAGCCACACUGGGACUGAGACACGGCCCAGACUCCUACGGGAGGCAGCAGUAGGGAAUCUUGCGCAAUGGGCGAAAGCCUGACGCAGCAACGCCGCGUGGGGGAUGAAUGCCUUCGGGUUGUAAACCCCUUUCAGCAGGGACGAAAAUGACGGUACCUGCAGAAGAAGCUCCGGCCAACUACGUGCCAGCAGCCGCGGUAAUACGUAGGGAGCGAGCGUUGUCCGGAAUUAUUGGGCGUAAAGAGCUCGUAGGCGGUUCAGUAAGUCGGGUGUGAAAACUCAAGGCUCAACCUUGAGACGCCACUCGAUACUGCUGUGACUUGAGUCCGGUAGAGGAGUGUGGAAUUCCUGGUGUAGCGGUGAAAUGCGCAGAUAUCAGGAGGAACACCAGCGGCGAAGGCGGCACUCUGGGCCGGUACUGACGCUGAGGAGCGAAAGCAUGGGGAGCAAACAGGAUUAGAUACCCUGGUAGUCCAUGCCGUAAACGUUGGGCACUAGGUAUGGGAUCAUAUCAACGGAUUCCGUGCCGUAGCUAACGCAUUAAGUGCCCCGCCUGGGGAGUACGG
Molecule: ribosomal RNA, 639 nt
Filed under: uncultured Actinomycetes bacterium
Lineage: Bacteria; Bacillati; Actinomycetota; Actinomycetes
Description: bacterial SSU rRNA
Rfam family: Bacterial small subunit ribosomal RNA
Source: RNAcentral